This 497-nucleotide ribosomal RNA is filed under the name uncultured bacterium. RNAcentral's name for it is "partial 16S ribosomal RNA". It matches the Rfam family "Bacterial small subunit ribosomal RNA", at positions 28 to 507 of the family's 1533-position model. The record is from RNAcentral.
GAUGAACGCUGGCGGCGUGCCUAAUACAUGCAAGUCGAGCGAACGGACGAGAAGCUUGCUUCUCUGAUGUUAGCGGCGGACGGGUGAGUAACACGUGGAUAACCUACCUAUAAGACUGGUAUAACUUCGGGAAACCGGAGCUAAUACCGGAUAAUAUUUUGAACCGCAUGGUUCAAAAGUAAAAGACGGUCUUGCUGUCACUUAUAGAUUGAUCCGCGCUGCAUUAGCUAGUUGGUAAGGUAACGGCUUACCAAGGCAACGAUGCAUAGCCGACCUGAGAGGGAGAUCGGCCACACUGGAACUGAGACACGGUCCAGACACCUACGGGAGGCAGCAGUAGGGAAUCUUCCGCAAUGGGCGAAAGCCUGACGGAGCAACGCCGCGUGAGAGAUGAAGGUCUUCGGAUCGUAAAACUCUGUUAUUAGGGAAGAACAUAUGUGUAAGUAACUGUGCACAUCUUGACGGUACCUAAUCAGAAAGCCACGGCUAACUACGUG